RNAcentral lists this ribosomal RNA (465 nucleotides) under uncultured bacterium. Its description in RNAcentral is "SSU rRNA". It matches the Rfam family "Bacterial small subunit ribosomal RNA", at positions 26 to 523 of the family's 1533-position model. The record is from RNAcentral.
AGAACGAACGCUGGCGGCAGGCUUAACACAUGCAAGUCGAGCGCUCGCAGCAAUGCGGGAGCGGCAGACGGGUGAGUAACGCGUGGGAACAUACCCUUCGGUUCGGAAUAGCUCAGGGAAACUUGAAUUAAUACCGGAUACGGCCAGAAGUGAAAAUUUCUGGCGAAAGAUUUAUCGCCGAAGGAUUGGCCCGCGUUCGAUUAGCUAGUUGGUGAGGUAACGGCUCACCAAGGCGACGAUCGAUAGCUGGUCUGAGAGGAUGAUCAGCCACAUUGGGACUGAGACACGGCCCAAACUCCUACGGGAGGCAGCAGUGGGGAAUAUUGGACAAUGGGCGCAAGCCUGAUCCAGCCAUGCCGCGUGAGUGAUGACGGCCUUAGGGUUGUAAAGCUCUUUCGCUAGGGACGAUAAUGACGGUACCUAGACAAGAAGCCCCGGCUAACUUCGCGCCAGCAGCCGCGGUAA